Long non-coding RNA from Pangasianodon hypophthalmus (striped catfish), 1670 nucleotides. RefSeq lists it as uncharacterized. The record is from RefSeq and is a predicted model, not a curated record. Lineage: Eukaryota; Metazoa; Chordata; Actinopteri; Siluriformes; Pangasiidae. The transcript has 4 exons.
UCAUUUCUUUCCAUCCCCUCUUUCCAUUUCUGUCUCUCCUUUUUCAUUUCUGUCCAUCCCUGCUUUCAUUUCAUUCCACCCCUUUCUACCAUUUCAUACAUCACCACUUAAGCAGCUUCCUUUCCAUCAUUCACUCAUUUUUCUCUCAUUUGUUCUGUCUUCCCUUCUUUUUUAUUCUUGAUAUUCUUUCACUUCAUCCUUGCUUUUAUUUCUCUAUGUCUUUUCUUUCUACCUUUCUUUAUUCCUCUUUUUUCUUUCUUUCUUUCUUGUCUAUUUGAUUAUUGUUCUUUUGCUUCAUCCUUCCUUUCAUUUUCUUUGUCAUUUCUCCCUUCCUUCAUUGACUUUCUUUCUUUCCUCCCUUGUUUCUUUUCUCACAACAUCACUUCAGACAGUCACUGUGUCCCUCUCUAUGUGGAAUAAACUGCUGUACGGGGUUAGCGCUGCUAGCAUGUGUAGGACUCUGCUGGAGCCGAGUAUUCCUGUGAGAGUUAGCAUACUUCAGAGGCUUUGAGAUAACGCUGCAGUCUGGAGUAUCGACGGCUCAAGCACUUGAAGAAAGAGAAGAACGAGAGCCGAUUCAGGGAGCAGGAAGGGCAGGUGUGCGAGUUCCUGCUGGAGAGAUGGGACGCGACACUGCCAUGCCAUCUAGUGGAGAUCCCUUUAUGGCCGGCUUUCACUUCUGACACAAAGGAGCGUUUUGUUGCAGAAGUGAGGUGGUGAUGCCAUUUUCUUUGUCGCACAAAGAAGGCACCGUUGAAAAAAGCCUUCAAUUCCCCAUGGGGGAGCGAGGGCCUUUCUGACGAGGAGGGAGAGUGGGGAUUGCGGAAAUUGAAUUCAUUGCUCGAACUUUGAAAGAGGAAAACAGAGGCUGGUGAGGGAACGACUGUUUCCACAUAAGUGAUAACUUGUUUCAUGGAUGUUCUACAGCAUCAAACUUAACUAGAAAUGGAUAAAAGGCCGCUUGCUGCUCCAGAGUGUGAAAUCGGCAUUGUUGCGGCGCGAGGCGAUCUAUCAGCCUCACGCAGUGUGACCGAGUGAUGACAUCACACUCCGAUAAAAGGCCCUUUUAUUGGCUCCAAGGUCAUCAGUGGGAAGACAGAGGCAUAAUAAUUGGCCUUCGUCGAACUGUGCGUGCUCGAAGCUCACACGCCGAGAGCGCCGCUAAUCUGGGUUUAUACUCGACGAGAUCUGUCCUGCAAAUAAAGAUAAAGAAAAAAAAAACUUGAUAGAACAGUGUGUUCCUUUCUCACCUGCUCACACACAGUUGGCUGCUGAUGGGAUUCCCAUUGAGAGAAAAAUCCUCUGGAUGGUUUUUUAACUGCAGUGUGAUUAGAUUCUCUUAGGUCCUAGUGAGAACUGAAUUUAAUCACUUUUAGAAUAAGUAGUAUGCAAUUUCUUUCUCAUGGAUGUGACUUUUUUUUUUUUUUUUGGUUUUUAGGAAUGUUCGUCUGUUAGUAAAGACUCUUACCACCCAGAUUUAUACAGACAACUGAAAACCUUAAGACUGCUUGAUUACAGGCUAUACAUGGAUUACUGAUCCUGGAUUUAUCCGUUCUUCAAAGCUGGUAUCGGAUUUGUUACCAUGACUACAGGAGCAGGUUUAUUCAACAUGAACAAGAUUAGAUCCAUUUAUUUACUGUGUUGAUUAUUUUCCUAUAACGCCAUGCCCC